This is a long non-coding RNA of Suricata suricatta (meerkat), 370 nucleotides long. RefSeq lists it as uncharacterized. Lineage: Eukaryota; Metazoa; Chordata; Mammalia; Carnivora; Herpestidae. The transcript has 3 exons. The record is from RefSeq and is a predicted model, not a curated record.
CCUUACAAGGAUCAAAUGAGAAGGUGAUUAGGAAGGUGCUUUGUCAGCUGACUGCACUGGCCUAUGAGAGAGUCCAAGCCUGCCGGCUGGGGCCAAACGCCACAAGGUCAACACCUCCUCAUUUAGUGCUGAGGCAGGCUCCCGGGAGGGCAGAGACUUUGCAUGGCUUUGUUUACUCCUGUAUCCCAGCAGCAGGAAUAGAGCCUGCCCCUGAAUAUGUACCGAAGGGUAAAUGAGAAAAGGGCUCAGAUCCAGCUUCGCCCAAAGCCACGGCCACUGUCUUUUCUUGCCUGGACACUGCAGCAGCCUCCUCCCUGACCCCUCAACCUCUUCCCUGACCCCAGCCUCCUCCUGACCCCCAGGUACCUCU